Molecule: RNA transcript, 4625 nt
Organism: Biomphalaria glabrata
Lineage: Eukaryota; Metazoa; Mollusca; Gastropoda; Planorbidae
Exons: 2
Source: RefSeq, a predicted model, not a curated record
AGGAGUAGGCCUACUGUGAACGUGGAUUUUAUUGAUAUUAUUGUUCGUUGAAUCAGGAUUAAAUUUCUCAUAAUCUACCACUUGUAGAUCUGUGUUGGUGCAUUAUUAAAGAGUCUCAACUGCUCGUAACAAGUGGCCCUAAACGUGAAGGUAAAACCCAUGCAAGGGCGGAUUGGACAAAGGUCACUUUAAAUGUCACUGUCAGUGAACAUACUCUUGUGAAUCUGAAAUGGGACUCUGUACUUAAAAGUUAGAAAGUAGCCUUGAUGUUUUGAUUUAGUUAUGUUUACAACAGUUUUUAGAAUUAGAUCCACUGUUACCAAAAUUGAUUCACAGAUGGAUUGCAAUUGCAAGUCUAAAGUGAAUUAUAUGUGAGCUUGCGCUCCCAGAGCUAUAUUUUUAUAUAUUUUAUUUUUAUAGGCUAGUGCCAAACUUAUUUGUACUUCCGCUUUUUGUGUAUAAAAAGUGAUGCCACGCUGUUUUAAAACAGUUCAGUGUACAGUUGACCAGUGGUCAGCACCAUAUCUGUCUGUGUGACAGCUGAAUAUCGUUGUGGUCUGUCGUCUAAUUAUAUUUUUAUUUCUGUACCUGGGACGGCCUGUAAGUGUAGAAAUAUUUUAUAUUUUUUACUAGAUCUAUACUAUGUGUAAGGUAGUUAUUUUAUUUUCUACUUGGACUAUUUGUCAUAAUAGUUGGCAACAUGCUGUACGGAAGAUGGCGGCGUCCAUCAGUCCUAAUAGAAUAUAGAUCUAAUAUAGUUUUGCAUUUAUGUAUUGCAGGCUAUUGUUACUGCUGUGUUACUGCUUUUAACUGCUGCCUUUUAGCUGCUGAAUAUUACUGCUUAUAGAUCUAGCUGUUGUUUAUAACUGCUGUUGUUAGAUCUAUUCUAAUUCUAGGGAAUCUAGGAUCUAGUGUUAUUUUUCUUUAUUAUCGCCUUAGUAAACUUAGUUAUAUUUAUAGUCUGUUUCUCAGUUCUGUUCUUAGUGAAUAGUAAGGUACUGAGCCUAAGGAUAAGAUAUUCUUGUUUUAGUGUUAGUGUUAUGAGUGAAAUAGUAGGAUAUUGUAGAUCUAGGCUAGUUUAUUGUAGUGUGUUUAUUGUAGAUCUAGGUCUAGUGACUAGUGUAGUAGUUUUGGUGAUUAAGUUAGAUAGUUGUUUUGAUCAGUUUGUGUCAGAUAGUUAGUUUGGUAGUGUUUGUAGUGGUGUAGAUUUAGAGGGUAGUUUAUAGUGGUUAGUGUAUAUAUUAUAUUUUAUUAUUAUUUGAUUCCAUGUAAAUAAAGUUUCAUUUUGUUUAUUUAUACUAAACUAAAGUUUGUUAUCUUGUUUCCAUUUAGUUUAGUUUAGUAUGUCUGGUUACUUAGGUGACUCUAGCCCCUUGGUCGUAGACUGAGGUGUCACAGAUGAGCCCACCCAGUAGCGCAAACAUCUGCCUACUGUUGGUAAAUUUUAAUGUUGAGCAGCAGAGAAUAGGUCCUUUCUCUAUCCACUUGCGCCUGCCUGAUCUGCUCACAUUUUUGGUGUCAGAAGUGGGAUCUGUGCUUGAGUGACCAGACUUGUAUUUUUUAUUGGUAGAUAGAUUAGGUUUGCGUAGGAGUUUAGGCAUUGAUAGGCGGUAUAGAUAGUGUUAGUUUAGUUGUUUUUUUGGUAUUGUUAUUGAGAGGUUAUUAGGCUUUAGUUUUGUUGAGUAGUUACGUAGAUGAACAGCGAGGCAGCAGCAGCAGCAAGAAUGCAGCCGUCUCAGACAAUGAUCUUGGUGCCUAGGACAGAGAUGAGUAUCCGGCGCUUCCAUGGUGAUGGUCCUGCCAGGGAAAUUGAAGAGUUCCUUCAAAAUGUUGAGAGAGCUUGGAAGUCUCAACACAUGGUGCAUCCAGAGGAAAAAUGUGACUUCCUCUUUGCACAUCUAGGUGAGGCAGUGAAGGCCGAACUUAGGUGUCACCCUCAGACGACAAGGGCAUGCCCAGAUGCCCUUGUACAAGUUCUACGCUCCACCUAUGGAGAAAGGCGGAGCGUCAACUGUCUGAUUGGGCAGCUGUUCCGAAUAAGCCAGCACCAGUAUGAGUCUGUCCGCACUUACUCACACCGUCUCCUUCAGGCAUUUGAAGCACUCACAGACAGGCAGAGAGCUCUAUCUGAAACUCCCUUCAGCGAGUCUAUCCUGAGGGACCAGUUUGUAGAAAACCUCAGUGACAGGACCCUAAGGAGAGACCUGCGAGAGAGACUACUUGACAGGCCAGAAACUGAAUUCUUGGCGUUAAGAGACAUGGCCAUCAGGUGGGCCCAGGACGAGAAUGUCGCACCGCAAGUCAACGUCACAUGCAGUGAGAUAAAGAUUGAAGGCCAGCUAGCUGCGCUCUCCAAGCAAGUGGAGGAGCUUGCAGCCCAGAUUGUGCUCCUACAACUUUCGGGACCACAGAACUCUAACUGUCCCCACUGCAACCACCAUCAACCUGAUCACAUUAGCGGCAAUGUGAGACAGGUUACCUCACAACAGCGCGUGGAGACAAAUCGCACUCUUUACCAUAAGAGGCUAGCUACGAAGAACAGGAAAUGCUACACAUGUGGCAAACCUGGCCAUCUUGCAAGAAAUUGCAGGCUGCAGAACAGGUUCCAAGGUCAGCGAAAGAAGCCAGGGAACCGGGCUCACCAGCAACACCCUUCUAGAAGCAACUGCUUGAAUUGUGGAAGCCGGGACCAUUUCACCCGAGCUUGCCUGAUGUCACUGCAGCAGUGAAUCACGUUUAGGUUGCCUCAGUGGAACAACCACAGGCAGUACAACUACAACCUGCCCCCAAGCCAACAGAAUUGUCGGUUGAGGUGCCACAGAAUCCUAGGCGAUCCAACACUGCUCCUGAUUCAAUUGUUCGCAGAAGCCAACCCGCAGCGGCAGAAAUGAUGUCGAUUCAUACAGAAGUUGCCUCACCUGACACUUCCAGUAAUCAUGCAGAAGGUGGUAGGGAAACAAAUCCUUUCCUACAGUUUCAUCCGGUCCAACCAGAAUCCACCUUGCUUUCCCAUGAGGUUCCUGAGUUGCAGAAGAAAAGGAACGACCUUCUGAACAUUGGGUGCAGAGUUCUUGUGGAACACAGAGUCAGAGGCCAGGGAAGAAUGUUCAUGCAGUAUGAACCCUCGUGUUUUGUAAUUACUGCAGUACCCAAGUAUGCUUCUGGCUGGUACAUGGUAGAAGCAGAAGAUGGGAGUACAUACAGAUAUGUACGAGAGGAGGAAAUGAAGUUUGUUUCCUCACCAUACUAGCACAAUUCUUCAUUUGUAUAUUUGUAAUUUUUAUUUAAUAUGUUGGUUGCAUUCCAAUGUAUCAAGAUGUAUUAGUUUGUAAUAACUCUAUGAGUACAUGUUAUCUACAUGUGUAUUUGAAAGCUUUUUUUCAAAAGCUUAGUAGUUGCUAAACCUAUUUCAGAAUGUACAGAAUCAAGAGUAUUUUCUUGUGUUUUUAGCUGAUGAAGUGUAUAUUUUUUUUUGCUUUUGUCCUUGUAAAGAAAUAUAAUUUAAGUCAUGUCAUGGAGAUGUAUAUUUUUGUGUGAAAUCGAUUUUAGUGUGUAUUUUCUUUGAUGGUAUAAUAUGUCAGCAGUAUGUAUGUAAUGCAUUUUAAGUAGUUUGUUAGUAUUUUGUUUUGCGAGGACGCAAAAAUUUAAGGCGGGAUGAAUGUGAGCUUGCGCUCCCAGAGCUAUAUUUUUAUAUAUUUUAUUUUUAUAGGCUAGUGCCAAACUUAUUUGUACUUCCGCUUUUUGUGUAUAAAAAGUGAUGCCACACUGUUUUAAAACAGUUCAGUGUACAGUUGACCAGUGGUCAGUACCAUAUCUGUCUGUGUGACAGCUGAAUAUCGUUGUGGUCUGUCGUCUAAUUAUAUUUUUAUUUCUGUACCUGGGACGGCCUGCUAUUGUUACUGCUGUGUUACUGCUUUUAACUGCUGCCUUUUAGCUGCUGAAUAUUACUGCUUAUAGAUCUAGCUGUUGUUUAUAACUGCUGUUGUUAGAUCUAUUCUAAUUCUAGGGAAUCUAGGAUCUAGUGUUAUUUUUCUUUAUUAUCGCCUUAGUAAACUAUAGUUAUAUUUAUAGUCUGUUUCUCAGUUCUGUUCUUAGUGAAUAGUAAGGUACUGAGCCUAAGGAUAAGAUAUUCUUGUUUUAGUGUUAGUGUUAUGAGUGAAAUAGUAGGAUAUUGUAGAUCUAGGCUAGUUUAUUGUAGUGUGUUUAUUGUAGAUCUAGGUCUAGUGUAGUAGUUUUGGUGAUUUAGUUAGAUAGUUGUUUUGAUCAGUUUGUGUCAGAUAGUUAGUUUGGUAGUGUUUGUAGUGGUGUAGAUUUAGAGGGUAGUUUAUAGUGGGUAGUGUAUAUAUUAUAUUUUAUUAUUAUUUGAUUCCAUGUAAAUAAAGUUUCAUUUUGUUUAUUUAUACUAAACUAAAGUUUGUUAUCUUGUUUCCAUUUAGUUUAGUUUAGUAUGUCUGGUUACUUAGGUGGCUCUAGCCCCUUGGUCGUAGACUGAGGUGUCACAGAUGAGCCCACCCAGUAGCGCAAACAUCUGCCUACUGUUGGUAAAUUUUAAUGUUGAGCAGCAGAGAAUAGGUCCUCUCUCUAUCCACUUGCGCCUGCCUGACCUGCUCACAUAUAUAAUUGGG